ACCCGUUGAUCCUGCGGGAGAAUGCUGCUAUUAGGAUUCGAUUAAGCCAUGCAAGUCAAGGGGGUCUUCGGACCACCGGCGAAAGGCUCAGUAACACGUCGCUAACCUGCCCUAUGGUCAGGGAUAGCCUCGGGAAACUGAGGGUAAUACCUGAUAGGUGCUCUCUGCUGGAACGCUUGAGCAUUGAAACUCGUGCCGUAGGAUGGGGUGGCGGCGGAUUAGAUUGUUGGUGAGGUAACGGCUCACCAAGUCGACGAUCCGUAGGGGCGAUGAGAGUCGUAGCCCCGAGAGGGACACUGAGAUACUGGUCCCAGCCCUACGGGGUGCAGCAGGCGCGAAACCUCUACAAUGCACGAAAGUGUGAUAGGGGAAUCCUAAGUGCUCAUGCUUUGCAUGGGCUUUUGAUGAGAGUAAACAUCUCGUCGAAUAAGUGGUGGGCAAGACUGGUGCCAGCAGCCGCGGUAACACCAGCGCCACGAGUGGCAUUCGCAUUUAUUGGGUCUAAAGCGUUCGUAGCCGGAUGCGUGCAUCCUUUGUGAAAUCGGACAUCUCAAGUGUUCGAACUGCAGGGGACACGACGCGUCUAGGGACCGGGAGGAGCUAGAGGUAUGCCGUGGGGAGUGGUAAAAUAUGAUAAUCCGCGGUAGACCACCUGUGGCGAAGGCGUCUAGCUAGAACGGAUCCGACGGUGAGGAACGAAGGCCAGGGGAGCGAACCGGAUUAGAUACCCGAGUAGUCCUGGCAGUAAACGCUGCGUGCUAGGUGUAGCGUAUCUUAGUGGAUACGCUGUGUCGAAACGAAGGUGUUAAGCACGCCACCUGGGAUACGGCCGCAAGGCUGAAACUUAAAGGAAUUGGCGGGGGAGCACUACAAGGGGUGCGGCGUGCGGUUUAAUCUAACUUCACGCAGAGAAUCUCACCAGCGGCGACGGCAGGAUGGUAGUCAGUCUAAAGGGCUUACUGGACGAGCCGAGAGGUAGUGCAUGGCCGUCGUCAGCUCGUGCCGUAAGGUGUCCUGUUAAGUCAGGCAACGAGCGAGACCUGCGCUCACAAUUGCCAGCGUGUUCUACGGAAUGAACGGGCACAUUGUGAGGACUGCCUCGGAAACGGGGAGGAAGGUGCAGGCAACGGUAGGUCUGUAUGCUCCGAAUCUGCUGGGCAACACGCGCGCAACAAUGGUAAGGACAAUGGGAUACUACUCCGAAAGGAGACGUUAAACCUCGAAACCUUAUCCUAGUCCAGAUUGAGGGUUGUAACCCACCCUCAUGACGCCGGAAUCCCUAGUAAUCGGACGUCAACAUCGUCCGGUGAAUACGUCCCUGCUCCUUGCACACACCGCCCGUCAAACCACUCGAGCAGAGUCUCGGUGAGUCUUAGACUUUGUGUUUAAGCCGAACCGGGGCUCAGUGAGAUGGGUUAAGUCGUCACAAGGUA
Molecule: ribosomal RNA, 1433 nt
Filed under: metagenome
Description: bacterial SSU rRNA
Rfam family: Archaeal small subunit ribosomal RNA
Source: RNAcentral